CAGAGGUUGCAGUAGUGUAAAGAUACGGAACUGUAUACAUGUAAUAUAGCUAUCCCAUUGUAGGUUAGCAAAGAAAAGUGGCACAUAGAGUACUAAAGUGUCAUACUCAUAGCACCUAGAAGAGUCCACAAGAAUUUGAGCCUGUGUCUGAAAUUAAACUAUAGAAGACAAGAAAAAGAAGCUAAGUAUGCCAAUCUUUGCCUCCCUGGUUCAGAGGUUGUGAAGCUCUGGGUCACUGGAGACAAGAAAAAGAAGCUAAGUGAGUCGACCUUUGCCACCCUGGUUCAGAGGUUGUGAAACUCUGGGUCAUUGGGACAGUGAGAACAAUGAGACAGUAUCAUACAAAGAUUUGGAUAAGCAUAUUCUUUUCAUUGUACAAAAAUUAAAAAAAAUCUGCCUUCCACAUUUAUUAUU
Molecule: long non-coding RNA, 414 nt
Filed under: Solanum tuberosum (potato)
Lineage: Eukaryota; Viridiplantae; Streptophyta; Magnoliopsida; Solanales; Solanaceae
Description: long non-coding RNA (STUB_LNC008522)
Source: RNAcentral